CCUACGGGAGGCAGCAGUGGGGGAUAUUGCACAAUGGGGGGAACCCUGAUGCAGCGACGCAGCGUGGGGGAAGAAGAGCCGCGGCGCGGAAAGCCCUGUCAGCAGGGAAGAAAAGGACGGUACCUGAAGAAGAAGCCCCGGCUAACGACGGGCCAGCAGCCGCGGUAAUACGUAGGGGGCAAGCGUUAUCCGGAUUUACUGGGUGUAAAGGGGGCGCAGACGGCGAUGCAAGCCAGGAGUGAAAGCCCGGGGCCCAACCCCGGGACUGCUCUUGGAACUGCGUGGCGGGAGUGCAGGAGGGGCAGGCGGACUUCCUGGUGUAGCGGUGACAUGCGUCGAUAUCCGGAGGCACACCGGUGGCGAAGGCGGCCUGCUGGACUGCAACUGCCGUUGAGGCCCGACAGCGUGGGGAGCAAACAGGAUUAGAUACCCCGGUAGUC
Molecule: ribosomal RNA, 440 nt
Filed under: uncultured bacterium
Lineage: Bacteria
Description: partial 16S ribosomal RNA
Rfam family: Bacterial small subunit ribosomal RNA
Source: RNAcentral